This 497-nucleotide ribosomal RNA is filed under the name uncultured bacterium. RNAcentral describes it as "partial 16S ribosomal RNA". It matches the Rfam family "Bacterial small subunit ribosomal RNA", at positions 28 to 507 of the family's 1533-position model. The record is from RNAcentral.
GAUGAACGCUGGCGGCGUGCCUAAUACAUGCAAGUCGAGCGAACAGACGAGGAGCUUGCUCCUUUGACGUUAGCGGCGGACGGGUGAGUAACACGUGGAUAACCUACCUAUAAGACUGGGAUAACUUCGGGAAACCGGAGCUAAUACCGGAUAAUAUAUUGAACCGCAUGGUUCAAUAGUGAAAGACGGUCUUGCUGUCACUUAUAGAUGGAUCCGCGCCGCAUUAGCUAGUUGGUAAGGUAACGGCUUACCAAGGCAACGAUGCGUAGCCGACCUGAGAGGGUGAUCGGCCACAUUGGAACUGAGCCACGGUCCAGACUCCUACGGGAGGCAGCAGUAGGGAAUCUUCCGCAAUGGGCGAAAGCCUGACGGAGCAACGCCGCGUGAGUGAAGAAGGUCUUCGGAUCGUAAAACUCUGUUAUUAGGGAAGAACAAAUGUGUAAGUAACUAUGCACGUCUUGACGGUACCUAAUCAGAAAGCCACGGCUAACUACGUG